CCUGCACUCCAGCACAUCUGAUAAGAGAUCAGACUUCUGCUCCAUACCUCCAUCUGGUCUUAUUUUGGGAAGGCCGUGAAGAACAACACAGAGGAGGAAAGACGGAGAGGGGCACAUCCUCAGCCCUCCCUUUAAUAUGCUCCCCAGCAUCCACACAUACCUGGAGAGAAGAGAGAAAUGCAGCCAUGCUGUCUAAACAAAAAAACUAUUUCUCCAGAGGAUAAAUCAGUUAGUGACCUUGCAGUCUGAGGUCAGUGCUCAUAGGUGAUCUCAUGGAUCUACAUCAAAUGUCAGAGGCUAAGAACUGAACCAGAGUUGACCUUUGACCUGCUGUGAUCCUGCUCAAUCCAUCACCUUCUUACCGUUUUUGCGAGGGGGUCAUCAGAGCGGAAAGUUUGUCACUGUAGAACCUCCUCAUGGCGAAGUGGU
Micropterus dolomieu (smallmouth bass) is the source of this 429-nucleotide long non-coding RNA. RefSeq lists it as uncharacterized. The transcript has 3 exons. The record is from RefSeq and is a predicted model, not a curated record. NCBI's taxonomy places the organism in Eukaryota, Metazoa, Chordata, Actinopteri, Centrarchiformes, Centrarchidae.